UAAUAGUGCUGUUGUAUUUGCUUAUUCGCUUAUUUGUUUAUCUGCUUAUUUGUUUAUCUGCUUAUUUGUUUAUCUGCUUAUUUGUUUAUCUGCUUAUUUGUUUAUCUGCUUAUUUGUUUAUCUGCUUAUUUGUUUAUCUGCUUGUUUAUUUGUCUUCUUUUUUUUUUUUAUCUUGAUUUUUUCUUUUUUUUUUUUUUUUGUAAGAACAAAGAAAAUGAUACUAUAUCAAAAAUAAAAGAAGAAAUAGAUUAUUUAUUAGGUGCUUAUUUUUCUAGGUAUAAAAAAAAAAAAAAAUAAAAUAAAAUAAUUAAAAUUGUUUGUGUUCACUCUUAUAUAUAUAGACCUAUGUAUAUGUGAAUAAAACAAAAUUAUCUCUUAUUUCCGUUUUUAUCUUUCUUUUUUUUUGCUGUCACAGAUUUGAUUACAUAAUUAAGAGAUUAAAACAAGAAAAGGAAUUACAAAUAAAAUAUUUAACAACUUCUAUGAACUCUUACUACAAUAUAUUUUUUGAGACAGUUGAUAAGAAACAUGAAGAUUACAAAAAAAUUGAAGAUCUAAUUAAGUUCCAUUUUAUUCCAGAAACACUCAAAAACUACUUUACAGAAAAUAUAAAAAUUGAUAAUAUAAUAAAAGUAAAAAAAUUGAGUGAUAGAAAUCUGGACACAUUGAUAGAACAACAUUUAAAUAGCUUGGUUUAUUAAAAAAAAUUAAUAUUCUUACCCACUUAAAAGUAGUAAAAAAAAAAAAAAAAAAAAAAAAAAAAAAAAAAUAGGUAACGAGUCACCUACCACCUAAAAUAUAUUACCCUAUCUAUGCAUAUGUACAUAUAUAUAUAUAUAUAUAUACGUACAUAUAUGAGCGGGAACUUAAGAAUACACGUUUGCACAAAUUAACACAUGCAAUGUAUGGACUUAUUUUUUUUUUUUGUGACGUCUUUUUUUUUUUUUUUUUUCACCCACUGCAGUUGCAAAAUUAACCAUUUUUAUGAAUUUGACGAAGCAGAACAAACAGUUGAAGACCCUAAGAGAAAAAAAUUUUUUGAUAAAAAUUAUGUUUGUUCGUCUUAUAAUAUUAAUCAUAUUUUGAAAACUUUAAUAAAGUAAUCAUAAAAAAAAAACA
This 1119-nucleotide long non-coding RNA is filed under the name Piliocolobus tephrosceles (Ugandan red Colobus). RNAcentral's name for it is "lncRNA (ENSPTEG00000006716.1)". Lineage: Eukaryota; Metazoa; Chordata; Mammalia; Primates; Cercopithecidae. The record is from RNAcentral.